Molecule: ribosomal RNA, 460 nt
Filed under: uncultured bacterium
Lineage: Bacteria
Description: partial 16S ribosomal RNA
Rfam family: Bacterial small subunit ribosomal RNA
Source: RNAcentral
CCUACGGGGGGCAGCAGUGAGGAAUAUUGGUCAAUGGACGAGAGUCUGAACCAGCCAAGUAGCGUGAAGGAUGACUGCCCUAUGGGUUGUAAACUUCUUUUAUAUGGGAAUAAAAUGUUCCACGUGUGGGAUUUUGUAUGUACCAUAUGAAUAAGGAUCGGCUAACUCCGUGCCAGCAGCCGCGGUAAUACGGAGGAUCCGAGCGUUAUCCGGAUUUAUUGGGUUUAAAGGGAGCGUAGGUGGAUUGAUAAGUCAGUUGUGAAAGUUUGCGGCUCAACCGUAGAAGUGCAGUUGAAACUGGCAGUCUUGAGUACAGUAGAGGUGGGCGGAAUUCGUGGUGUAGCGGUGAAAUGCUUAGAUAUCACGAAGAACUCCGAUUGCGAAGGCAGUUCACUGGACUGCAACUGACACUGAGGCUCGAAAGUGUGGGUAUCAAACAGGAUUAGAUACCCCGGUAGUC